GAUGAACGCUGGCGGCGUGCCUAAUACAUGCAAGUCGAGCGAACGUACGAGGAGCUUGCUUCUCUGAUGUUAGCGGCGGACGGGUGAGUAACACGUGGAUAACCUACCUAUAAGACUGGGAUAACUUCGGGAAACCGGAGCUAAUACCGGAUAAUAUUUUGAACCGCAUGGUUCAAAAGUGAAAGACGGUCUUGCUGUCACUUAUAGAUGGAUCCGCGCUGCAUUAGCUAGUUGGUAAGGUAACGGCUUACCAAGGCAACGAUGCAUAGCCGACCUGAGAGGGUGAUCGGCCACACUGGAACUGAGACACGGUCCAGACUCCUACGGGAGGCAGCAGUAGGGAAUCUUCCGCAAUGGGCGAAAGCCUGACGGAGCAACGCCGCGUGAGUGAUGAAGGUCUUCGGAUCGUAAAACUCUGUUAUUAGGGAAGAACAUAUGUGUAAGUAACUGUGCACAUCUUGACGGUACCUAAUCAGAAAGCCACGGCUAACUACGUG
Molecule: ribosomal RNA, 497 nt
Filed under: uncultured bacterium
Lineage: Bacteria
Description: partial 16S ribosomal RNA
Rfam family: Bacterial small subunit ribosomal RNA
Source: RNAcentral